CCUACGGGAGGCAGCAGUGAGGAAUAUUGGUCAAUGGCCGGAAGGCUGAACCAGCCAUGCCGCGUGAAGGUCAGUGCCCUAUGGGCGUUAAACUUCUUUUGUGCGGGAGCAAUAAUGGUCACGUUUGGCCAGACGAGAGUACCGUACGAAUAAGCAUCGGCUAACUCCGUGCCAGCAGCCGCGGUAAUCCGGGGGAUGCAAGCGUUAUCCGGAUUUAUUGGGUUUAAAGGGUGCGUAGGCUGUGAGGUAAGUCAGCGGUGAAAUGCCCCCGCUCAACGGGGUGAAGUGCCAUUGAUACUGCCUUGCUGGAAUGCGGAUGCCGUGGGAGGAAUGUGUGGUGUAGCGGUGAAAUGCAUAGAUAUCACACAGAACACCGAUUGCGAAGGCAGCUCACGAAUCCGCGAUUGACGCUGAUGCACGAAAGCGUGGGUAUCAAACAGGAUUAGAUACCCGAGUAGUC
RNAcentral lists this ribosomal RNA (460 nucleotides) under uncultured bacterium. RNAcentral's name for it is "partial 16S ribosomal RNA". It matches the Rfam family "Bacterial small subunit ribosomal RNA", at positions 338 to 795 of the family's 1533-position model. The record is from RNAcentral.